AGAGACCCUCAAGAGUCCCCUUGCUCCUUCUUCCAGGUGAGGACACAAGAAGGAGACUGUUAGGCUGUCAAUGAACCUGGAAGAGGGCUCUCACCAGACACCGAAUCUGACAACUUGAUCCUGGAUAUUCAGCCUGCAGAACUCAUUGGGACACACUUCUCACAGGGGUGAGUCUUCUGGAUGGAUGGACCCACCUGUGACAAAGCUUCUACAGAAACACUCUCCUCAGGUGUCUCUUCAUUCUCCAUUGUAUGACAACAAACUGAAAGAAGAGAAAUGCUGAUGGGUCAUGCUGACUGUGGUAAGAGAGUAUUAACCAUGUUUUGUUAAACUUUCUGUAUAAUAUGAUGUUUUGAUAUCUUAUAAAACCUUGAUGGCUCGGGAGAUAGCAGACUUGAACAACACUAUAGAUCAAAGGGACCUAACAGACAUGCCAUAAAAUCAUGCCAAGUAGCUUUUCUGAC
Long non-coding RNA from Phyllostomus discolor (pale spear-nosed bat), 464 nucleotides. RefSeq lists it as uncharacterized. The transcript has 2 exons. The record is from RefSeq and is a predicted model, not a curated record. Lineage: Eukaryota; Metazoa; Chordata; Mammalia; Chiroptera; Phyllostomidae.